Molecule: ribosomal RNA, 253 nt
Filed under: uncultured bacterium
Lineage: Bacteria
Description: partial 16S ribosomal RNA
Rfam family: Bacterial small subunit ribosomal RNA
Source: RNAcentral
UACAGAGGGUGCAAGCGUUAAUCGGAAUUACUGGGCGUAAAGCGCGCGUAGGUGGUUUGUUAAGUUGGAUGUGAAAUCCCCGGGCUCAACCUGGGAACUGCAUCCAAAACUGGCAAGCUAGAGUAUGGUAGAGGGUGGUGGAAUUUCCUGUGUAGCGGUGAAAUGCGUAGAUAUAGGAAGGAACACCAGUGGCGAAGGCGACCACCUGGACUGAUACUGACACUGAGGCGCGAAAGCGUGGGGAGCAAACAGG